RNAcentral lists this ribosomal RNA (798 nucleotides) under uncultured Glomus. RNAcentral describes it as "SSU rRNA". It matches the Rfam family "Eukaryotic small subunit ribosomal RNA", at positions 314 to 1114 of the family's 1831-position model. Lineage: Eukaryota; Fungi; Glomeromycota; Glomeromycetes; Glomerales; Glomeraceae. The record is from RNAcentral.
AUCAACUUUCGAUGGUAGGAUAGAGGCCUACCAUGGUGGUAACGGGUAACGGGGUGUUAGGGCACGACACCGGAGAGGGAGCCUGAGAAACGGCUACCACAUCCAAGGAUGGCAGCAGGCGCGCAAAUUACCCAAUCCCAACACGGGGAGGUAGUGACAAUAAAUAACAAUACGGGGUUCUUUCGGAUUUCGUAAUUGGAAUGAGUACAAUUUAAAUCUCUUAACGAGGAACAAUUGGAGGGCAAGUCUGGUGCCACCAGCCGCGGCAAUUCCAGCUCCAAUAGCGUAUAUUAAAGUUGCUGCAGUUAAAAAGCUCGUAGUUGAGUUUCGGGACCAAUAUGUCGGUCGUGCCUCGGUACGUACUGGCAUCGUUGGUUUCUCCCUUCUGACGAACCAUGAUGUCAUUCAUUUGGUGUCGUGGGGAAUCAGGACUGUUACUUUGAAAAAAUUAGAGUGUUUAAAGCAGGCUCACGCUUGAAUACAUUAGCAUGGAAUAAUGAAAUAGGACGUUUGAUUCUAUUUUGUUGGUUUCUAGGAUCGACGUAAUGAUUAAUAGGGAUAGUUGGGGGCAUUAGUAUUCAAUUGUCAGAGGUGAAAUUCUUGGAUUUAUUGAAGACUAACUACUGCGAAAGCAUUUGCCAAGGAUGUUUUCAUUAAUCAAGAACGAAAGUUAGGGGAUCGAAGACGAUCAGAUACCGUCGUAGUCUUAACCAUAAACUAUGCCGACUAGGGAUCGGAUGAUGUUAAUUUUUUAAUGACUCAUUCGGCGCCUUACGGGAAACCAAAGUGUUUGGGUUC